UCCUACGGGGGGCAGCAGUGAGGAAUAUUGGUCAAUGGGCGGAAGCCUGAACCAGCCAAGUCGCGUGAGGGAUUAAGGCCCUGCGGGUCGUAAACCUCUUUUGCCGGGGAGCAGUGGUCCGGACGCGUCCGGACCGGGAGAGUACCCGGAGAAAAAGCAUCGGCUAACUCCGUGCCAGCAGCCGCGGUAAUACGGAGGAUGCGAGCGUUAUCCGGAUUUAUUGGGUUUAAAGGGUGCGCAGGCGGCGAGUUAAGUCAGCGGUAAAAUUUCGGGGCUCAACCCCGCCAAGC
This 290-nucleotide ribosomal RNA is filed under the name uncultured bacterium. Its description in RNAcentral is "partial 16S ribosomal RNA". It matches the Rfam family "Bacterial small subunit ribosomal RNA", at positions 337 to 624 of the family's 1533-position model. The record is from RNAcentral.